AGUGAACGCUGGCGGUAGGCCUAACACAUGCCAGUCGAACGGCAGCACAGUAAGAGCUUGCUCUUACGGGUGGCGAGUGGCGGACGGGUGAGGAAUACAUCGGAAUCUACUUUUUCGUGGGGGAUAACGUAGGGAAACUUACGCUAAUACCGCAUACGACCUACGGGUGAAAGCAGGGGAUCUUCGGACCUUGCGCGAUUGAAUGAGCCGAUGUCGGAUUAGCUAGUUGGCGGGGUAAAGGCCCACCAAGGCGACGAUCCGUAGCUGGUCUGAGAGGAUGGUCAGCCACACUGGAACUGAGACACGGUCCAGACGCCUACGGGAGGCAGCAGUGGGGAAUAUUGGACAAUGGGCGCAAGCUUGAUCCAGCCAUACCGCGUGGAUGAAGAAGGCCUUCGGGUUGUAAAGCCCUUUUGUUGGGAAAGAAAAGCAGCAGGUUAAUACCCCGCUGUUCUGACGGUACCCAAAGAAUAAGCACCGGCUAACUUCGUG
This 492-nucleotide ribosomal RNA is filed under the name uncultured bacterium. RNAcentral's name for it is "partial 16S ribosomal RNA". It matches the Rfam family "Bacterial small subunit ribosomal RNA", at positions 29 to 507 of the family's 1533-position model. The record is from RNAcentral.